UGCCAGAUUCUUCGUGCAACCGAACCUCUCCAGCGGACAAUCUUCAGACGAGCUUUUGCAUCAGGCAAAUCCUAGACGGACUUCUCUGGCCAUCAAAUUUCUAUCAAACUUCACCAACGAAAAGUCUCCAUCCAAGCUUCUACAGCAGAUGACUCCCGCCUGUAGCAUCAGCGCCCAAGGCAUCUGACAAUAGUAGACUCAUCAGCAACCUCAAAAAUAUUCAAGCUUCUCCCAGAUGGUUGAAACAGAGCCAUUCCGCUCCAUCAGACGUCCUAGCCGAGCUUCAGCUGUCAGGCC
RNAcentral lists this long non-coding RNA (297 nucleotides) under Elaeis guineensis (African oil palm). RNAcentral describes it as "long non-coding RNA (EGUI_LNC063955)". Lineage: Eukaryota; Viridiplantae; Streptophyta; Magnoliopsida; Arecales; Arecaceae. The record is from RNAcentral.